UUACCUUGCCCCAUAGCCUUGCCCCACUGCAGUGCCCCAUAGCCGUGCCCCAUAGCAGUGCCCCAUAGCCUUGCCCCAUAGCAGUGUCCCAUAACUUUGCCCCCAGCAGCACCCCAUAGCCGUGCCCCAUGGCCAUGCCCCGUGGCCGUGCCCCAUAGCCGUGCCCCAUAGCCGUGCCCCAUAGCCUUGCCCCCAGCAGCGCCCCAUAGCCGUGCCCCAUAGCUGUGCCCCAUAGCCGUGCCCCACAGCCGUGCCCCAGCAGCGCCGCUGUCCCCGCAGCGCACGCGUAAGCGCCGUAACCGCAAGAAGAAGAAGCGGGCGCGGGCGGCGCGGGACGGGGGGGCAGCGCCGGGGGCAGCGGCCGACGGGGACCGGGACCGGGAGCGGGAGCAGGAGCGGGCCGGAACCGGAACCGGAACCGGAACCGGAACCGGGACCGGAACCACCCCCCCCGUGGAGAUCGAGUACGUGACCGAGGAGCCCGAGAUCUACGACCCCAACUUCGUCUUCUUCAAGAGGAUCUUCGAGGCGUUCA
Molecule: long non-coding RNA, 535 nt
Filed under: Numida meleagris (helmeted guineafowl)
Lineage: Eukaryota; Metazoa; Chordata; Aves; Galliformes; Numididae
Description: lncRNA (ENSNMEG00000001025.1)
Source: RNAcentral